GACGAACGCUGGCGGCGUGCUUAACACAUGCAAGUCGAACGGUGAAGCGCCUUCCUUUUUGGUGGGUGUGGAUGAGUGGCGAACGGGUGAGUAACACGUGAGUAACCUGCCCCCUUCUUCUGGAUAACCGCAUGAAAGUGUGGCUAAUACGGGAUAUUCUGGGUCUGUCGCAUGAUGGGUCUGGGAAAGAUAUUGUUUCGGUGGGGGAUGGGCUCGCGGCCUAUCAGCUUGUUGGUGGGGUGAUGGCCUACCAAGGCGGUGACGGGUAGCCGGCCUGAGAGGGUGGACGGUCACACUGGGACUGAGACACGGCCCAGACUCCUACGGGAGGCAGCAGUGGGGAAUAGUGCACAAUGGGCGCAAGCCUGAUGCAGCGACGCCGCGUGAGGGAUGGAGGCCUUCGGGUUGUGAAACUCUUUCGCCAGUGAAGCAGGCCUGCCUCGUUUGUGGGUGGGUGGACGGGAGCUGGAUAAGAAGCGCCGGCUAACUACGU
RNAcentral lists this ribosomal RNA (493 nucleotides) under uncultured bacterium. RNAcentral describes it as "partial 16S ribosomal RNA". It matches the Rfam family "Bacterial small subunit ribosomal RNA", at positions 28 to 506 of the family's 1533-position model. The record is from RNAcentral.